RNAcentral lists this ribosomal RNA (667 nucleotides) under Helvella lacunosa. RNAcentral's name for it is "eukaryotic LSU rRNA". It matches the Rfam family "Eukaryotic large subunit ribosomal RNA", at positions 119 to 797 of the family's 3401-position model. The record is from RNAcentral. Lineage: Eukaryota; Fungi; Ascomycota; Pezizomycetes; Pezizales; Helvellaceae.
AAUCUGGGGCCCUCGGCCUCCGAGUUGUAAUUUGGAGAGGCAUCCUUCUGGGGGGAGCGCCGGCCCAUGUUCCUUGGAACAGGACGUCACAGAGGGUGAGAAUCCCGUGUCAGGCAGGCUGCCUCCUCCCGUGUGAAGGGCCUUCGACGAGUCGAGUUGUUUGGGAAUGCAGCUCCAAGUGGGUGGUAAAUUUCAUCUAAAGCUAAAUACCGGCGGGAGACCGAUAGCGCACAAGUAGAGUGAUCGAAAGAUGAAAAGCACUUUGAAAAUAGAGUCAAAAAGUACGUGAAAUUGUUGAAAGGGAAGCGCUUGAGACCAGACUCAGGCCCGGGCAAACACCGCGCCCCUUGGGGCCGUGCAAUUGCCCGGGGCUGGGCCAGCAUCAGUUGGUGUGGCGGGACAAAGGCGCAGGCAAUGUGGCUCCCCUCGAGGAGUGUUAUUAGGCCCGCGCUCAAUGCCGCCGACGUCGACUGAGGACCGCGCCUCGGCUAGGAUGCUGGCUCAAUGGCCUUCAGCGACCCGUCUUGAAACACGGACCAAGGAGUCUAACAUCUAUGCGAGUGUUUGGGCGUCAAACCCUUGCGCGUAAUGAAAGUGAGCGGAGGUGGGAACCCCUCGCGGGGCGCACCAUCGACCGAUCCUGAUGUCUUCGGAUGGAUUUGAGUAU